AUUUUAUUUCAAUAACAUUGUUUUCUCAAGAGGAAAUUUCUUGCAGUGUUCUUCUGAGAGAGUAUUUAGGCAUGUACAUCAUGUCCAGUUACCCGGCCUGGUGAAAAUGGAAAGAAAAUACAAAAAGAAAACUUUACUUGCAAAAACCUCAUAGUUUUUCAAUGUUGAUUAAGCUUCUGAAUAAAUUUGGCUAGUGACCCUUGUAAAUAUGCUUGAUAUUCCCCACUGAUGUUUGAUUCAGGUUGUUUCCAUUCCUGAACGCCCCUCACCAUUCUAUGUUCUUUAAAUGGUGCCAAUGCCUUGAAUGUGCCAUUGUUUCUGUCCACACUUUUUCUGGAUGGGCUUAGGUUCAUGUCAUGCAUUGGUUGCAUUAGAAGGGAAGAAGGGCUAUGAUGAAGUGAUGGAAUCAUUGGACUCUCUGUCUCUGUACCAUAGAUGUUAUUUGUAUAUUGCUUCAAGUAACUAGUGGGGUAUUGUCCAUAAUUACAAGCCAGGUCAGUGGGAAUAUCUCCUUCCAAUAUUUUCAAUACCUUGGACAUUCUUGGUCUUUUUUCUGGGUUUGGUGAGAUACAUAAGCUGGCAGCAUGCAUCAUACAUUGUACUUCUUUUUCCUCAUAAUUUUGCUUUAGUCGAGGAUCUAUAAUCUCAUCAAUCAUCUUCCUCUCGAGCAAUGGACAACCCCAUUCUUGUACAAAUUGUUGUCCUGUAAUUCUUGAAAAUUCGGUUGCUUUAAGGCCAGACAAAAGCUCCAACAAAACAACCCCAAAUGCAUAUACAUCAGUUUUCUCUGUUAUAAGCCCAGAUUGUGUGUACUCAGGUGCUAAAUACCCAAAAGCGCCAAUAACUCGUGUUUCCUCAGCUGACUGGCCAUCUACUUGCCGUCUUGCAAGACCAAAAUCUCCCACCAUAGGUUCAAAGUCAUGUGUAAGGAGGAUAUUGUUGGGUCUGAAAUCUCUAUGUACAAUGCAUCCCACUCGGCAAUCUUCAUGAAGAUAUCUCAGACCUCUAGCAGCACCUUUUGCAACCUUCAUUCUUUUAUGCCAAGCCAUAACCUUAUUUGUCUCAGUUCCAUACAAAUGCUUAUCUAAGGAACCAUUGCA
Molecule: unclassified non-coding RNA, 1100 nt
Filed under: Hevea brasiliensis (rubber tree)
Lineage: Eukaryota; Viridiplantae; Streptophyta; Magnoliopsida; Malpighiales; Euphorbiaceae
Source: RNAcentral